UAUUUUAUGGUACAAAGACAGAGAGUAUUUCACAAGUGAGAAAACAGCCAGUCAGUGGAACAUUUCUUCUUCAUUAUAAGCAUGAAGAUGAUGGGUAAAAACAUGUAAGGGAAGCAUACCACCCCAAUAUAACUAGCAUGGAUUGAGGAAAGGACACUGAAGUC
Long non-coding RNA from Telopea speciosissima, 164 nucleotides. RefSeq lists it as uncharacterized. NCBI's taxonomy places the organism in Eukaryota, Viridiplantae, Streptophyta, Magnoliopsida, Proteales, Proteaceae. The record is from RefSeq and is a predicted model, not a curated record. The transcript is spliced from 3 exons.